RNAcentral lists this ribosomal RNA (402 nucleotides) under uncultured bacterium. RNAcentral's name for it is "bacterial SSU rRNA". It matches the Rfam family "Bacterial small subunit ribosomal RNA", at positions 370 to 772 of the family's 1533-position model. The record is from RNAcentral.
AAUGGGAGCAAUCCUGAUCCAGCAAUGCCGCGUGUGGGAUGACGGGGCUUUGCCUUGUAAACCACUGUCGGACGGGACGAGAAGAGGUAAGAACCUCUGGGACGGUACCGUCAAAGGAAGGAUCGGCUAACUACGUGCCAGCAGCCGCGGUAAUACGUAGGAUCCAAGCGUUGUCCGGAUUUACUGGGUAUAAAGGGUGCGUAGGCGGCUUUUUGCGUCAGAGGUGAAAUCCACGGGCUUAACCCGUGGGGUGCCUUUGAAACGGGAAGGCUUGAGUAUGACAGAGGCGGAUGGAAUUCCUGGUGUAGCAGUGAAAUGCGUAGAUAUCAGGAGGAACACCGGUGGCGAAGGCGGUCCGCUGGGUCAUAACUGACGCUGAGGCACGAAAGCGUGGGGAUCAAA